RNAcentral lists this ribosomal RNA (497 nucleotides) under uncultured bacterium. RNAcentral describes it as "partial 16S ribosomal RNA". It matches the Rfam family "Bacterial small subunit ribosomal RNA", at positions 28 to 507 of the family's 1533-position model. The record is from RNAcentral.
GAUGAACGCUGGCGGCGUGCCUAAUACAUGCAAGUCGAGCGAACAGAUAAGGAGCUUGCUCCUUUGACGUUAGCGGCGGACGGGUGAGUAACACGUGGAUAACCUACCUAUAAGACUGGGAUAACUUCGGGAAACCGGAGCUAAUACCGGAUAACAUAUUGAACCGCAUGGUUCAAUAGUGAAAGGCGGCUUUGCUGUCACUUCUAGAUGGAUCCGCGCCGUAUUAGCUAGUUGGUAAGGUAACGGCUUACCAAGGCAACGAUACGUAGCCGACCUGAGAGGGUGAUCGGCCACACUGGAACUGAGACACGGUCCAGACUCCUACGGGAGGCAGCAGUAGGGAAUCUUCCGCAAUGGGCGAAAGCCUGACGGAGCAACGCCGCGUGAGUGAUAAAGGUCUUCGGAUCGUAAAACUCUGUUAUCAGGGAAGAACAAAUGUGUAAGUAACUGUGCACAUCUUGACGGUACCUGAUCAGAAAGCCACGGCUAACUACGUG